Molecule: non-coding RNA, 69 nt
Organism: Ictidomys tridecemlineatus (thirteen-lined ground squirrel)
Lineage: Eukaryota; Metazoa; Chordata; Mammalia; Rodentia; Sciuridae
Source: Rfam
GGUGUUGUGGCUCAAUGAUAGAGCGCUCACCUCACAAGUGUGAAACACUGGGUUUGAUCCUUAGCACCA